GGCACAAAUGAUGAGUAUUUUGGGACUUAAUACUGAAUUCAUGAUGAAACUUUCAGCUGAUGUGC
Small nucleolar RNA from Hyla sarda, 65 nucleotides. RefSeq annotates it as small nucleolar RNA SNORD82. The transcript has a single exon. NCBI's taxonomy places the organism in Eukaryota, Metazoa, Chordata, Amphibia, Anura, Hylidae. The record is from RefSeq and is a predicted model, not a curated record.